AGUCGUAACAAGGUUUCCGUAGGUGAACCUGCGGAAGGAUCAUUACCAAACAUCUCAUUCUCAUCUUGAUGAUGAUGAUGAUGAAAUAAUCAACAACAACAACCCUGUUGAAACGUGUUGUGGUGGUGUGGGACACACGGUGAUGACCGACCAUCUCGUCCCGUGGUGUGAUCCCCGCCACCAUGCUAUAUCACAACGAUACGAGAUUUGGAUGGACAGAGAUGAUGAUGGUGAUGAUGGCAACAUGAUCAUCAUCAUCAUCAUCAUCAAUCAUAUGAUGAUUCAUAACGCAAUCAAACUUUUAACAAUGGAUCUCUUGGCUCUU
This 325-nucleotide unclassified non-coding RNA is filed under the name fungal sp. RNAcentral's name for it is "partial internal transcribed spacer region". The stretch from base 1 to 45 matches the Rfam family "Eukaryotic small subunit ribosomal RNA", at positions 1787 to 1831 of the family's 1831-position model. The record is from RNAcentral. Lineage: Eukaryota; Fungi.